CGGCAGCCGCUACCAGAGACAAGGAAGGCUGAGAGAACCCAUCUGCCCUCAGUGGAGGAGAAUGGCUUAACCAGGGCAGCGGGCCCUGAGCAGGGACAGCCUCCAGCAGAGCAGCCACAAGCUGAGACAACCAAGUACCUUGGGAAAGGGGAUGGGAAGGCAGGGGGCACAAACCUCCAAGCUGAGGCCACUUAGCACAGGAAGCCCACAACCACCCCAAGACCGACAAAGGUCUUUUCCUACCCUAUGAUCCCAUAAGCCUCUGAAAUGGAAAAGGGUGAGAAACAUUUCACUGAUUGGCAAAGAAGCAUGAAAUCAUGGUGGCAAGGUUCCUUUUCUCUCUUUGGUACCUUUCUUGUGCUCUGACCACCUCUGCUCAAUGCUCCUGUUGACACUCUACAAAGAAGGGGACCUCUGGCAAUGUAAGGCUUGUCAUUUGGACCACCGUAGUGUCGAAAUGGCAAGGGUGAAGAAGAGAGAGACGUCCAGCACUCCCGUGACUGAGUCCUCGUAGCCGUGGCUCUCACUUCUGCAUUUAUGCAGAGGCUGAGCUUUUCUCAACCAAGUCUUCCUUUUUUCUGCCUUUCCUUUUCCCUCCUAGAAACAG
Phascolarctos cinereus (koala) is the source of this 607-nucleotide non-coding RNA. The record is from RefSeq and is a predicted model, not a curated record. NCBI's taxonomy places the organism in Eukaryota, Metazoa, Chordata, Mammalia, Diprotodontia, Phascolarctidae.